AAAUUUCCUCUAUCUUCUCUACCUCGACCCUACUCUGGCCGGCUCUGCUUUCCCUGCCAGAAACGAUAUUCACUUUUGCUUCUGUCGAGCUCCUCUCCUCUCCGCCUCUGGCUGAGGGUAAACUUUAAUCGAAAGAGAGUGAAGUAUCGUCAUGGGUGUUGUUUGUUUCUGUUUGCAUGUUGAGGAUCGUGGGGGAAUACAUGAAUCUAAGUCGUUCAGUCAGUCUACGAGAACAGUAUGUGUCUCAGAUGUUUCCCUGCGAUUUCUCUCCUCCACCUUUUCCUUUGUUUGUGUGUCUCAUGCUGAGGAACAAUUCAGUGCAUUAUCUUGGGUUCACGAGGUGAUUAUCUGUGGUGUUGUUGUUGUUCGCUGAAGGAGAUGGGUGUUGAUUUUGGGUGGAGUGACACGUGUUGGUCGAUUUCUUCUGGGCUUCUUCGUUGCGAGACACAUGGUUAGAUGUGUUUCUUCAUGCAGAGAGGGAUUGUUGUUCGGGUAGUUUCCUUGCGUUCCCAUGCACGAUUUUGGGUGACUCUUGACUCAUGACAGUGUUUGCGUGUCUUGCUACUGCUGCUGAUCUAUUUUUUAGUAAUUUGAGGGGUGACUCAUGGUGUUUGUUUUAGCAUCGAAAUUCAACUUUUUACCCAGUACAUGCAAAUUCAGAGGGUCCAGUAGCUUAUGAUGUUUUGGGUGCAACAGCUCCAUGGAUAAUGCAGAGGAGAGGAAGUGAAGCCGUGGCUUUACAAGUGGUGUUGCGGAAACUAAACUUCAGCUUCAAUGAAGGUCUUCUCUCGGAUUUAAUAUUAUCUUUGCUUUUAAAAUUUUGAACACAUCUCUUCUCAGUCUGAUAAAGUUUUCUUUCAUCUUUUUAUUUUUUAUGCUUUUCCAUGAGAUUCACUUAUGUCCUAGUGCGCGUGAGAUGGAUCUAUUUGAUCAUAACAAAGACCAUCAUGUAAAGAGUUUAGUUGCAGAGUCAGCGAAUGGUUUGAGCUCAGGCCAGAAAGCGCGGGCAUCUACCUAGAUUAAGUGAGACGUCUCUCUCUUUCCAGGUUUCAUAGGGGUCUCAAGAAGCAGCCCAUGGCCUGCAAAAGUCUUUUGCGGUGGCGUCAAGACUAAACCAGCAAUCCCACCACCGCCUCUUUGAAAAUUCUUCGUUGGUAAGACCAUCGCAGAGAGUUAAAUUCAAAAAAUAAAUCAACAAAGCCUUAACGUUCCUAAGGUAUGCGAAGUACCAUUUGUCUCAAAAAUGAAUGAAUCUUUUUUUCUUAUAUGUUUGUCUCUAUUUCUUUAAGUACGUAAAGUGACAUUUGUCUCUCAAAAAAUGUGAAAAAUGGAUGUAAACCAAUCUUAUUGUGUUAUGAGCUAUAUUGCUACUUUGGAUGUUGCCAUGGAAUCUAAUCAGAUGUGAGGAGAGUGCUCUGAAGGUAUGAUUUAAAUUUUCAACUUGAGCUAUUAUUUAGUGCUGUAAUUCUCAUUUUUGUUUACAUGUUCUGCGGCAUCGAUCCAAUGGUGAGGGGAGACUGUGAGGCUGACAUUGUAGCGGAAAGGAAUCUUGCUUGGUGAUCUGGAUACUAACUCUGAUGGAGAUUGUCGAUUUUUUGAAAAUCGAUGCUAUAACAAACACCAUCAAUGAAAAAAAAAAAUAUAAUUAUUACAUGUUAUUUUUGUGCAGGGAUGUUUCUAUAGCAAGAUCUUUUAUUUACCUUUUGUUUCUUGAACUGAUGAUGCAAAAGUCAUUUCCUGAUCUUUGUUAAUGAACGUUUUGGAAAUAUAUUUGUUUUCUUGGAUCUCUGUUCGGCAGCUUUCGCUGGGUGAUAUGUAAAUAUGUCCUCAAUGCAGUGAUGCUAUGAGGACACUGGAUAGAUACAAGAGGGCUGGACAGCAGGUUGAAUUAUAUUAAAAAUCCCCGUGCGUCAUUCUUAAAAGCGAUGGAAAAGAGUAUUUGAGAGAAGCAACUCCAUGGACGUGGUGAUUGUGGUAUGAUCCUAUGUUGAGUGAAUUGUGGAGUACUCACGCUACUUGCCUUCCUGUGUCGACCAAGCACAAUCAUAACUUACUCUAUGUAAACAAAUGGAUUAGCAAAACUUGGACGGCCUAUGGAUUAUCAUGUGGAAUGAUCUAUUUCGGAAGGGACAUGGUUCACUCGGAGAUAUUAUGCUAUAACAUCAGUCAUCCAGUGAGAGCAACUGAGAAAACUGAGGCUGCUCAGAGAUAUAGAAUGCAAGUUGAGAUGGCUGCUAAGUUGGAAGGAGGCAUUUCACAUCUUCCAUUGAUUGAUCCAUCAAAAGAACACCACCUCUAGCUACAUAUGAAUGGAGAAAAAAAUUGGAAGAAGUUCAUGAACUUGAUGAUACAUCAAAUUCCACAUUUGACAAAAACUACGUUUCAUUGGAUGUGAGAAAUGGAAAUGAAGACUGAAAGGUUCUUGGAUGAUGCCAUCAAUGUUUUUGCUUAUGUACUGAAGUGAUCCCCAUUGGGAAAUUUCUGUGUAACAUCAGGCACCAAAAUCAAACCAAAGUCAAUCAUUUCGAUCAAUGUGAGCAACACCUCUAGGCAAGAGUAAUUGGUCUGGUCGACAACACUGCAAUCGCUAAUGCUUGAGAUGCUGCUUACAAGUUUUAACUUUUUAUGGCUAUGAAAUCUAAGAUUUUCCAAUUUAUAUGGCGAGUAAUCUUGUUUGACAGACAGCAGCAGGGUUUUCAAAAUUUGUACACUUUGAAGGGAGGGGUUUCUCACCAUCUUGAGAAAGAAGAUCUUCGGAAGUGGACUGGGAAUUGGUUUGUUUUUGACUCCUCCCGUCUUUCUCUUCCUCCUUCUGCCUAUAAGAAAGAAGCAGUGAAGGAAGCAAGCAAGACUCGACCAACUUCUAAGAGCAAUUUAUUUGCCAACUGUUAUAAAAAAAUAUGUGGCUCCCCAGUCUCAGAAUUAAGGCUCGACCCAUCUCCUUCCUGGAUGGUUGUAUCCACCUAAAAGCUUCAAGAAAGGAAAAAAGAUUGUGGUAAAUGGCUCAUGAAGUUGCAUUUUAGAUGAGCUUGCGGUCAUUUGAACUUUGGAGGGUUCCUUUUUUGUUUUUUUUGGGAGCUUUGGAGGGUUCAGAGUUUAGGUAUAUUUGUAACUGGGAAUUGAUGAAUUCUCUGUACGCAUUACGUGUCAUGUUUAUUGAGAAGAAGUUCUUGGGUUUAUUGGUUUUGAUACGGACAGAAGCAGAAAAUCUCUAAUUGAGUUUAACGUUGCCGAUUUUAAGGUCAUAAUUUUUUUUUCA
Molecule: RNA transcript, 3259 nt
Organism: Tripterygium wilfordii
Lineage: Eukaryota; Viridiplantae; Streptophyta; Magnoliopsida; Celastrales; Celastraceae
Exons: 14
Source: RefSeq, a predicted model, not a curated record